RNAcentral lists this ribosomal RNA (375 nucleotides) under uncultured Nitrospirota bacterium. Its description in RNAcentral is "bacterial SSU rRNA". It matches the Rfam family "Bacterial small subunit ribosomal RNA", at positions 521 to 896 of the family's 1533-position model. Lineage: Bacteria; Pseudomonadati; Nitrospirota. The record is from RNAcentral.
UAAGACAGAGGUGGCAAGCGUUGUUCGGAUUUACUGGGCUUAAAGGGCGUGUAGGCGUCCUGACAAGUCAGAUGUGAAAGCCUUAGGCUCAACCUAAGAAUUGCACUUGAAACUGUCAGGAUUGAGUCGGGUAAGGGAGGGCGGAAUUCCUGGUGUAGCGGUGAAAUGCGUAGAUAUCAGGAGGAAGGCCGGUGGUGAAGACGGCCCUCUAGGCCAUGACUGACGCUGAGGCGCGAAAGCGUGGGUAGCAAACAGGAUUAGAUACCCUGGUAGUCCACGCCCUAAACGGUGGGUACUAGGUGUGGGUGGCGAUAGUCAUCCGUGCCGUAGGGAAACCAUUAAGUACCCCGCCUGGGGAGUACGGCCGCAAGGUUG